RNAcentral lists this ribosomal RNA (254 nucleotides) under uncultured bacterium. Its description in RNAcentral is "partial 16S ribosomal RNA". It matches the Rfam family "Bacterial small subunit ribosomal RNA", at positions 524 to 776 of the family's 1533-position model. The record is from RNAcentral.
UACGUAGGGUGCAAGCGUUUGUCCGGAAUUAUUGGGCGUAAAGAGCUCGUAGGCGGUUCGUCGCGUCGGCUGUGAAAUCCCGGAGCUCAACUCCGGGUCUGCAGUCGAUACGGGCGGACUUGAGUACUGCAGGGGAGACUGGAAUUCCUGGUGUAGCGGUGAAAUGCGCAGAUAUCAGGAGGAACACCGGUGGCGAAGGCGGGUCUCUGGGCAGUAACUGACGCUGAGGAGCGAAAGCGUGGGGAGCGAACAGG